AGGAGCUUACAUUCUGACACCUUGCUGGAGCAUGCUUAAGUGUGUCUGCCACAAUGUCCUCCACUGUUGCUUGCUGGAUUCUAGGAUUGGACAUCAUCACUGCCUCUUGGUCUCUUCCCUUUCUUCCCCUUCAGACUAAACUCCUUCCACACACUGUAGGAGGCCAGUGCCCGCAUCACCCGUCGGGUGUUUUCCCCAGGGUUUGGACCUCCAACAAGACUUAAAUGGUGUGUCUACAAGAUGGAAUACAUUUUCAAAAUGGUAAUAACUUUUGUUAUUUAACUUAAUUCUAACACUUUUUUUGGCAUUUCACGGAUAGGUCACUAUUAACAUACCACUCUAUUCCGAAAUGUCUCCUCUUUCAUUUUUUCUUCGAGAGAGAGGAGUUCCUCCAUAGUGCCACACACAUCAAGGCUCAUCUCCUCCACUCGCUGACUAGUCCCAUCACCCAGGGCACGAGCAUAGAGUUCAUACAGGGCUGCUGUUGAGCUCCUCAUCGCCUUCAUCUCACUCUCUAUGCUGAUGAUUCUCUGAGUGAGUAGGCUCAGGAGGUGAUCUGGGGGAAUCAAGAUUGAUUCAUUCAAAUAAAGGUUCAUACCUUCAUCAGAGCUGCUGAGACACACUGGCCGUUUUUUUCUCUUGGGAACGUCAUCAGAGCUCUCCACAGAAGACUGCACAGGUGCUCUUUUGGACCACUUUUUUGCAGUUUCAUAGUCACCUGAA
This is a long non-coding RNA of Rhinichthys klamathensis goyatoka, 723 nucleotides long. RefSeq lists it as uncharacterized. Lineage: Eukaryota; Metazoa; Chordata; Actinopteri; Cypriniformes; Leuciscidae. The transcript is spliced from 3 exons. The record is from RefSeq and is a predicted model, not a curated record.